RNAcentral lists this ribosomal RNA (253 nucleotides) under uncultured bacterium. Its description in RNAcentral is "partial 16S ribosomal RNA". It matches the Rfam family "Bacterial small subunit ribosomal RNA", at positions 524 to 776 of the family's 1533-position model. The record is from RNAcentral.
UACGGAGGGUGCAAGCGUUAUCCGGAUUCACUGGGUUUAAAGGGUGCGUAGGUGGGCAGUUAAGUCAGUGGUGAAAUCUCCGGGCUCAACCCGGAAACUGCCAUUGAUACUAUCUGUCUUGAAUGUUGUGGAGGUGAGCGGAAUAUGUCAUGUAGCGGUGAAAUGCUUAGAUAUGACAUAGAACACCAAUUGCGAAGGCAGCUCACUACACAAAGAUUGACACUGAGGCACGAAAGCGUGGGGAUCAAACAGG